GAUGAAGAACGUAGCGAAAUGCGAUAAGUAAUGUGAAUUGCAGAAUUCAGUGAAUCAUCGAAUCUUUGAACGCACAAUGCGCCCCUUGGUAUUCCGAGGGGCAUGCCUGUUCGAGCGUCAUUAUAACCCCUCAAGCUCAGCUUGGUGUUGGGGCCUGCUGCACUGGCAGCCCUUAAAAUCAGUGGCGGCGCCAUCUGGCUCUAAGCGUAGUAAUUCUUCUCGCUAUGGAGUCCUGGUGGAUGCUUGCCAUCAACCCCCAAUUUUUCUAUGGUUGACCUCGGAUCAGGUAGGGAUACCCGCUGAACUUAAGCAUAUCAAUAAGCGGAGGA
Molecule: unclassified non-coding RNA, 329 nt
Filed under: soil metagenome
Description: partial contains 5.8S ribosomal RNA, internal transcribed spacer 2, and large subunit ribosomal RNA
Rfam family: 5.8S ribosomal RNA (bases 1-120)
Source: RNAcentral